CAACUCGACUACAUGAAGCUGGAAUCGCUAGUAAUCGCGAAUCAGAAUGUCGCGGUGAAUACGUUCCCGGGUCUUGUACACACCGCCCGUCACACCAUGGGAGUCGGGAAUGCCCGAAGUCAGUGACCCAACCGGAAGGAGGGAGCUGCCGAAGGCAGGCUCGAUAACUGGGGUGAAGUCGUAACAAGGUAAC
RNAcentral lists this ribosomal RNA (193 nucleotides) under uncultured bacterium. RNAcentral describes it as "partial 16S ribosomal RNA". It matches the Rfam family "Bacterial small subunit ribosomal RNA", at positions 1308 to 1500 of the family's 1533-position model. The record is from RNAcentral.